This 568-nucleotide long non-coding RNA is filed under the name Serinus canaria (Common canary). Its description in RNAcentral is "lncRNA (ENSSCAG00000007785.1)". The record is from RNAcentral. Lineage: Eukaryota; Metazoa; Chordata; Aves; Passeriformes; Fringillidae.
GUCGGGGCCGCAGAUAACAACGGGCGCCGAGCCGGGGCCGCGGGACCAGACGGUGCAGGGAGUGGGACGAGCCAAGGACCCCCAUCCUGGGCAGCCGGGCCCCGGAGCAGCGGAAUGGGGUCCAGCAGCCUCCUGAGACUCCUCUGCAUCGUCUCGGUGCUGGCCAGGUGCCUGCACCCUGCCACGGCCCAGUGGUUUUCUCUGGGCUCAGAGGACACCACCCCGGAUCCAGGCACCAGCCCCGUGCCCCCCAGCCUGGGUGGGGAGGAAGACACAGACGACAGCGUGGAGCCCGUGGGGAAGGUGCUGCUGAGCAAACCUCCUCUGGCAACAGCCCCUAAACGCCGNNNNNNNNNNNNNNNNNNNNCGCCGGGACCAGCUCUCCAGGGGGGCAGUGAAGGGGUCAGGCCGUGCCCCACCACGCACACGAGGACAGCACCGACCCACGGCCGCCCCGGAGAUCUUGGAGGGGAGCGCAGUGGAGGAGGAGUUCCUGCAGAUCCAGACCACGGCCAAGGGGCUGCCUCGGCGGCUCCCGUCGGCCCCGGAGAUGGACCCUGCCCUCCAG